Molecule: long non-coding RNA, 501 nt
Filed under: Gallus gallus (chicken)
Lineage: Eukaryota; Metazoa; Chordata; Aves; Galliformes; Phasianidae
Description: long non-coding RNA NONGGAT009210
Source: RNAcentral
AUCUGUCUUCACAUGUGCACGCAAAGAGCCUGGAUGGAUUUCCUCCCACGGUGCCGUGGUGGGCACGGGGCUGCGGCCACCAAAGCUGCUGCGUCCCCGCACGGCCCCCUCCUGGUGCUGCCGGUCACAGCCGCAGGCGGCUGCUGGGCCGGAGGGGCUCCCAGCUGGAAGGGAGGACGAGUUGCAGUUAGCAGUUGCAGCCCUAGCCCUGCUAAUGGCUGCUCUGACCAAAACUCCACAUUUCUGCUUUAUGAAAGGCCAAAUCCUGAAGCAGCAGUGAGAGAUCGCGGCCCCGGCACUGCCUUGGCACUCACAGGGCAUAAAUUCACAGGAGAAUUGGGACACCCAAAGAGAGAGAAAAUCAUGCGUGGAGAAACGCGUUUAGUGCAUGCACACAUGCCUGCAGUCUGCUGAAAUGCAAAUCUGCCGUAUUGCCUCCUAAUCCCCAUGCAUGACACACCAAUAAACAGGGCUUUCUAAUGCCUUCCAUCUGUGUUUCAG